UAGGUGGGAGACUUUGAAGCCGUGACGCCAGUCAUGGUGGAGUCGCCGUUGAAAUACCACUCUGGUCGUGCUGGAUGUCUAACCUCGGUCCGUGAUCCGGAUCAGGGACAGUGUCUGAUGGGUAGUUUAACUGGGGCGGUUGCCUCCCAAAGGGUAACGGAGGCGCCCAAAGGUUCCCUCAGCCUGGUUGGCAAUCAGGUGUUGAGUGUAAGUGCACAAGGGAGCUUGACUGUGAGACCGACGGGUCGAGCAGGGACGAAAGUCGGGACUAGUGAUCCGGCGGUGGCUUGUGGAAGCGCCGUCGCUCAACGGAUAAAAGGUACCCCGGGGAUAACAGGCUGAUCUUCCCCAAGAGUCCAUAUCGACGGGAUGGUUUGGCACCUCGAUGUCGGCUCGUCGCAUCCUGGGGCUGGAGUCGGUCCCAAGGGUUGGGCUGUUCGCCCAUUAAAGCGGUACGCGAGCUGGGUUUAGAACGUCGUGAGACAGUUCGGUCCCUAUCCGCUGUGCGCGUAGGAAUAUUGAGAAGGGCUGUCCCUAGUACGAGAGGACCGGGACGGACGAACCUCUGGUGUGCCAGUUGUCCUGCCAAGGGCAUGGCUGGUUGGCUACGUUCGGGAGGGAUAACCGCUGAAAGCAUCUAAGCGGGAAGCCUGCUUCGAGAUGAGUAUUCCCACCUCCUUGAGAGGGUAAGGCUCCCAGUAGACGACUGGGUUGAUAGGCCGGAUGUGGAAGCCCAGUAAUGGGUGGAGCUGACCGGUACUAA
This 763-nucleotide ribosomal RNA is filed under the name Streptomyces venezuelae ATCC 10712. Its description in RNAcentral is "bacterial LSU rRNA". It matches the Rfam family "Bacterial large subunit ribosomal RNA", at positions 2144 to 2904 of the family's 2925-position model. Lineage: Bacteria; Bacillati; Actinomycetota; Actinomycetes; Kitasatosporales; Streptomycetaceae. The record is from RNAcentral.